AUGUUUUCCUGGGCUUUUAAAAUGCGAUCUUGUGUAAUGUACUAUGACCAAGCACUGGAGCGUGGAAGCUGUGAACCUCCUAACCUACUCUCUACCUGCCGAACAGAAUCACCAAAAGGGGGUGACAUACCACUUCAGAGAAUGGCGAAUACUUCCAAGGGCAAGGUGUGUGUCACUGGAGCCUCUGGCUUUGUUGCCUCUUGGCUUGUCAAGCGACUUCUCGAGUCAGGUUAUCAUGUUCUAGGGACAGUCAGAGACCCAGGCAAUCAGAAGAAGGUAGCACACCUCUGGAACUUAGCAGGUGCUAAGGAGGGGCUGGAGCUUGUCAGGGCUGACCUCUUGGAAGAAGGGAGCUUCGACGAUGCCGUGAUGGCCUGUGAGGGCGUCUUCCACACCGCAUCGCCUAUCAUCACUAACGCUGAUUCCAAGGAAGAAAUGCUUGAUUCGGCGAUAAACGGCACUCUAAACGUGCUGAGAUCCUGCAAGAAGAAUCCAUUCCUCAAAAGGGUUGUCCUCACGUCUUCGUCGUCGACCGUGAGGCUGAGAGAUGAAGCUGAAUUCCCUCCCAACGUGCUGCUGGAUGAAACAUCAUGGAGCUCCGUGGAGUUCUGCGAAAGCAUCCAGAUAUGGUACGCUGUUGCGAAGAUCCUCGCUGAGAAAUCAGCCUGGGAGUUCGCCAAGGAGAACAACAUCGACCUCGUGGCCGUUCUUCCGACGUUCGUCAUCGGCCCUAACCUCUCCCCUGUGUUAGGCCCCACCGCCUCAGAUGUCCUUGGCUUGUUUAAAGGGGAGACGGAGAAGUUCACCAUCUUCGGGAGGAUGGGGUACGUCCACAUCGACGACGUCGCGAGCUGCCACAUCCUGGUCUACGAAACCGCCGACGCCAAGGGGAGGUACAUCUGCAACUCGGCGGUUCUGGAUAGCAACGAGCUGGUCGCCUUGCUCGCGAAACGGUUCCCGUCGUUCCCCAUCCCGAAGAGUUUACCGAACAUUUACGGGGAGCAGACGUACGGCUACAACACGUCAAAGAUCCGGAAGCUGGGGCUUGAGUUCAGAGGCGUGGAGGAGAUGUUCGACGACUCGGUGGAGUCGCUCAAGGCGCAUGGCUAUCUGCGCGAGGGCGCCGCGUGA
RNAcentral lists this ribosomal RNA (1131 nucleotides) under Triticum aestivum (bread wheat). Its description in RNAcentral is "partial small subunit ribosomal RNA". Lineage: Eukaryota; Viridiplantae; Streptophyta; Magnoliopsida; Poales; Poaceae. The record is from RNAcentral.